Molecule: ribosomal RNA, 495 nt
Filed under: uncultured bacterium
Lineage: Bacteria
Description: partial 16S ribosomal RNA
Rfam family: Bacterial small subunit ribosomal RNA
Source: RNAcentral
GACGAACGCUGGCGGCGUGCCUAAUACAUGCAAGUAGAACGCUGAAGGAGGAGCUUGCUCUUCUGGAUGAGUUGCGAACGGGUGAGUAACGCGUAGGUAACCUGCCUGGUAGCGGGGGAUAACUAUUGGAAACGAUAGCUAAUACCGCAUAACAGUAGAUGUUGCAUGACAUUUGCUUAAAAGGUGCACUUGCACCACUACCAGAUGGACCUGCGUUGUAUUAGCUAGUUGGUGGGGUAACGGCUCACCAAGGCGACGAUACAUAGCCGACCUGAGAGGGUGGUCCGCCACCCUGGGAAUGCAUAGCACCACAGACUACUACAGGGAGCAGCAGUACGGGAUUUUCGGCAAUGGACGGAAGACUGGCCGAGCAACGCCGCGUGAGUCAAGAAGGUUUUCGGAUCGUAAAGGUCGGUUGUACAAGAAGAACGAGUGUGAGGGUGGAAAGUUCACAAUGGCACGGUAACUUACCAGACAGGGACGGCUAACUACGUG